GACGAACGCUGGCGGCGUGCUUAACACAUGCAAGUCGAACGGAAAGGCCCUGCUUGCAGGGUACUCGAGUGGCGAACGGGUGAGUAACACGUGGGUGAUCUGCCCUCCACUCCGGGAUAAGCCUGGGAAACUGGGCCUAAUACCGGAUAGGAGCCAUUUUUAGUGUGAUGGUUGGAAAUUUUUUUCGGUGUAGGAUGAGCUCGCGGCCUAUCAGCUUGUUGGUGGGGUAAUGGCCUACCAAGGCGGCGACGGGUAGCCGGCCUGAGAGGGUGGACGGCCACAUUGGGACUGAGAUACGGCCCAGACUCCUACGGGAGGCAGCAGUGGGGAAUAUUGCACAAUGGGCGCAAGCCUGAUGCAGCGACGCCGCGUGGGGGAUGACGGCCUUCGGGUUGUAAACUCCUUUCGCUAGGGACGAAGCUUUUUGUGACGGUACCUAGAUAAGAAGCACCGGCUAACUACGUG
This 465-nucleotide ribosomal RNA is filed under the name uncultured bacterium. RNAcentral describes it as "partial 16S ribosomal RNA". It matches the Rfam family "Bacterial small subunit ribosomal RNA", at positions 28 to 507 of the family's 1533-position model. The record is from RNAcentral.